Molecule: long non-coding RNA, 543 nt
Filed under: Mytilus galloprovincialis (Mediterranean mussel)
Lineage: Eukaryota; Metazoa; Mollusca; Bivalvia; Mytilida; Mytilidae
Source: RNAcentral
GAAGAUGUCUGUUUGCCAAGGUUAAUUUUACUAAGACCUCAUUUUCAUAAAACAAUGAUAAUAUUAAACAGCAAGAAUGAGGAUCAAGUCGAAGUUAUAUACAAAUGAGGCAAAAUUUUCAGUUGCCUACUUUUUAUGUAUUAGUAGUUAUUUUUGUCAUUAAAUGAUAUUGUUUACCCUUUUAUGUGUAGGGCAAGAAUAUUAAAGAUAAAGGGAAACUAUAAACAGAAGAAAUUAUCAACAAAAAUAGAUUUACAAAGGUCAACAAAGCCUAAAUGGUAAGUCCACUGUUAAAAAAAGUUUUAGCCCUUGAGUAAUGAUUAAAUAUUUAUUAAAAUAAGAUGUGGUACGAUAAAUGAGAAAACUAUCCAUCAGAGUUCAAUUAAGUGGAUGUAACCAUUGUAAUUACUUAUUAUUAGAGGCCAAUGAUGACCUGUUAGUAAUGAAAAAACUCAUACCCUAUACAUGAUAUAGUAAUCUAUAAAAGACAACGCUAACAAAAUUUGAAACGAAGCAUCAAUUCAAACUUCAAAUAUACCAGAC